AAAAACUCCCUUGACGGUACUUAAUGAAUAAGCCCCGGCUAAUUAUGUGCCAGCAGCCGCGGUAAUACAUAAGGGGCGAGCGUUAUCCGGAAUUAUUGGGCGUAAAGGGUGCGUAGGCGGUUUAAUAAGUCUAUAGUUUAAUUUCAGUGCUUAACGCUGUUGUGCUAUAGAAACUGUUUUACUAGAGUGAGUUAGAGGCAAGCGGAAUUCCAUGUGUAGCGGUAAAAUGCGUAAAUAUAUGGAGGAACACCAGAGGCGUAGGCGGCUUGCUGGGACUUUACUGACGCUGAGGCACGAAAGCGUGGGGAGCAAACAGGAUUAGAUACCCUGGUAGUCCACGCCGUAAACGAUGAGUACUAAGUGUCGGGUAAAACCGGUACUGAAGUUAACACAUUAAGUACUCCGCCUGAGUAGUACGUACGCAAGUAUGAAACUUAAAGGAAUUGACGGGACUCCGCACAAGCGGUGGAUCAUGUUGUUUAAUUCGAAGAUACACGAAAAACCUUACCAGGUCUUGACAUUUUCUUGCGAAGUUAUAGAAAUAUAAUGGAGGUUAUCAGGAAAACAGGUGGUGCAUGGUUGUCGUCAGCUCGUGUCGUGAGAUGUUAGGUUAAGUCCUAAAACGAGCGCAACCCUUGUCGUUAAUUGCCAGCAUGUAAUGAUGGGGACUUUAACGAGACUGCCAAUGAAAAAUUGGAGGAAGGUGGGGAUUACGUCAAAUCAUCAUGCCCCUUAUGAUCUGGGCUACAAACGUGAUACAAUGGUUGAUACAAAGAGUAGCUGAAACGCGAGUUCUUAGCCAAUCUCACAAAAUCA
This 816-nucleotide ribosomal RNA is filed under the name Cassava frogskin disease phytoplasma. RNAcentral's name for it is "bacterial SSU rRNA". It matches the Rfam family "Bacterial small subunit ribosomal RNA", at positions 459 to 1284 of the family's 1533-position model. The record is from RNAcentral. Lineage: Bacteria; Bacillati; Mycoplasmatota; Mollicutes; Acholeplasmatales; Acholeplasmataceae.